GUAAAUAAGCUAACUUAGCGGCUUCUUUUUGAGCUCAAGUUAAAUGGGAAAUGUUUGCUAAGGUUGUUACUUAAUAAUGUGCCCAAGAGAAGAAGAAGUACAGCUAAUGUUCGGCUGUUAUUCUCGAAAAUUACACCUGCUCCCGCGCUUUUCGCUAAGAAGCUACGUAGUUAGCAUGUUAGCUAACCAAGUAGAUACUAGUUAGCUCCAAAAGAAGUCCCAGCUGUGGGGGAGCUGGCUGUUUGUAAACAGAAGAGGGACUUUCUCUCAAGUUUAUUUAUACAACUGGCAUGACUGCUGACACCCUCAAUCAUUGGACUGCAAAAGAAAUGUUUUCCUGAGGUCUGUUGGAGAUGAAUGGUUUGCUGAAGGCUCUACUGGCACCAGCUCAGCACUACUGACACACCAUAUACCAUCAUUAAAGCUUUCCAAGAUGUUCCCGGAGCUUUCCACAAGUUCCUCCAGCUCUCCAUCUUCAACUCUCGCUUCUCCGCCUGGAUCUGUUUGUCCUGAACCCGGGCGUUCUCCACCGCCACCUUCAGCAGACCCUGAGGAAACACACGUGAUGAAGAAGAGGAGGAUGAAGAACAAGACUGUAAAGCCUCCAGAAGACCAAAAGGGCCAAUUUUUCAAACGGAGAAUGAGAGAUGAACCGACUGCACUUUCUAUUGUUUCACAC
Molecule: long non-coding RNA, 679 nt
Organism: Eleginops maclovinus (Patagonian blennie)
Lineage: Eukaryota; Metazoa; Chordata; Actinopteri; Perciformes; Eleginopidae
Exons: 5
Source: RefSeq, a predicted model, not a curated record